UUAAUACUCCCUCCGUCCGGAAAUACUUGUCAUCAAAAUUGAUGAAAAUGAAUGUAUCUAGAACUAAAAUACAUCUAAAUACAUCCAUUUCAAUGACAAGUAUUUCCGGAUGGAGAAAGUAGAUG
This is a non-coding RNA of Triticum aestivum (bread wheat), 125 nucleotides long. The record is from Rfam. NCBI's taxonomy places the organism in Eukaryota, Viridiplantae, Streptophyta, Magnoliopsida, Poales, Poaceae.